RNAcentral lists this ribosomal RNA (499 nucleotides) under uncultured bacterium. RNAcentral describes it as "bacterial SSU rRNA". It matches the Rfam family "Bacterial small subunit ribosomal RNA", at positions 8 to 524 of the family's 1533-position model. The record is from RNAcentral.
AGAGUUUGAUCAUGGCUCAGAGCAAACGCUGGCGGCGUGCCUAAUACAUGCAAGUCGAACGGGGAAAGCUUUCGGGUGAGUACUAGUGGCGCACGGGUGAGUAACGCGUGGAUAAUCUGCCUUAGAGUGGGGGAUAACUAGCCGAAAGGUUAGCUAAUACCGCAUAAGACCACGGGGACUGCGGUUCCUGAGGUCAAAGGUUUUUCGCUCUAAGAUGAGUCCGCGUAAGAUUAGCUAGUUGGCGGGGUAAGAGCCCACCAAGGCGACGAUCGGUAGCUGGUCUGAGAGGAUGAUCAGUCACACUGGAACUGAGACACGGUCCAGACUCCUACGGGAGGCAGCAGUAGGGAAUAUUGCGCAAUGGGGGAAACCCUGACGCAGCGACGCCGCGUGAGUGAUGAAGGCCUUCGGGUCGUAAAGCUCUGUCGUAUGGGACUAACACAAUGAAGGUACCAUGCAAGAAAGGAUCGGCUAACUUCGUGCCAGCAGCCGCGGUAAU